Molecule: ribosomal RNA, 165 nt
Filed under: Orobanche macrolepis
Lineage: Eukaryota; Viridiplantae; Streptophyta; Magnoliopsida; Lamiales; Orobanchaceae
Description: 5.8S ribosomal RNA
Rfam family: 5.8S ribosomal RNA
About the family: 5.8S ribosomal RNA (5.8S rRNA) is a component of the large subunit of the eukaryotic ribosome.
Source: RNAcentral
GAAUGACUCUCGGCAACGGAUAUCUCGGCUCUCGCAUCGAUGAAGAACGUAGCGAAAUGCGAUACUUGGUGUGAAUUGCAGAAUCUCGUGAACCAUCGAGUCUUUGAACGCAAGUUGCGCCCGAAGCCUUUCGGCCGAGGGCACGUCUGCCUGGGCGUCGCGCAG